Molecule: ribosomal RNA, 253 nt
Filed under: uncultured bacterium
Lineage: Bacteria
Description: partial 16S ribosomal RNA
Rfam family: Bacterial small subunit ribosomal RNA
Source: RNAcentral
CACGUAGGAGGCGAGCGUUGUCCGGAAUCAUUGGGCGUAAAGAGCGUGUAGGCGGUUCGGUAAGUCGGCUGUGAAAGUCCAGGGCUCAACCCUGGGAUGCCGGUCGAUACUGCCGGACUAGAGUUCGGAAGAGGCGAGUGGAAUUCCCGGUGUAGCGGUGAAAUGCGCAGAUAUCGGGAGGAACACCUAUGGCGAAGGCAGCUCGCUGGGACGUUACUGACGCUGAGACGCGAAAGCGUGGGGAGCAAACAGG